AUCCAGAUAACCAGUCCAAAAUAGGACGAAACGCGCAUCCUGGAU
RNAcentral lists this non-coding RNA (45 nucleotides) under Trichobilharzia regenti. The record is from RNAcentral. Lineage: Eukaryota; Metazoa; Platyhelminthes; Trematoda; Strigeidida; Schistosomatidae.